CGUAGGUGGCAAGCGUUGUCCGGAUUUAUUGGGUUUAAAGGGUGCGUAGGCGGUCUUUUAAGUCAGUGGUGAAAUACUUCAGCUCAACUGGAGAGGUGCCAUUGAUACUGGGAGACUUGAGUACUGAUGAGGUAGGCGGAAUGGACGGUGUAGCGGUGAAAUGCUUAGAUAUCGUCCAGAACACCGAUAGCGAAGGCAGCUUACUAAGGAGUAACUGACGCUGAGGCACGAAAGUGUGGGGAUCAAACAGGAUUAGAUACCCUGGUAGUCCACACUGUAAACGAUGAUUACUCGAUGUUGGCGAUACACAGCCAGCGUCUUAGCGAAAGCGAUAAGUAAUCCACCUGGGGAGUACGCCGGCAACGGUG
Molecule: ribosomal RNA, 368 nt
Filed under: uncultured organism
Description: bacterial SSU rRNA
Rfam family: Bacterial small subunit ribosomal RNA
Source: RNAcentral